AUUGAACGCUGGCGGCAUGCUUUACACAUGCAAGUCGAACGGCAGCGCGGGCUUCGGCCUGGCGGCGAGUGGCGAACGGGUGAGUAAUGCAUCGGAACGUGCCCAGUAGUGGGGGAUAGCCCGGCGAAAGCCGGAUUAAUACCGCAUACGACCUGAGGGUGAAAGCGGGGGACCGAAAGGCCUCGCGCUAUUGGAGCGGCCGAUGUCGGAUUAGCUAGUUGGUGAGGUAAAGGCUUACCAAGGCGACGAUCCGUAGCUGGUCUGAGAGGACGACCAGCCACACUGGGACUGAGACACGGCCCAGACUCCUACGGGAGGCAGCAGUGGGGAAUUUUGGACAAUGGGGGCAACCCUGAUCCAGCCAUGCCGCGUGCGGGAAGAAGGCCUUCGGGUUGUAAACCGCUUUUGUUCGGGAAGAAAUCCUCUGGGCUAAUACCCCGGGGGGAUGACGGUACCGGAAGAAUAAGCACCGGCUAACUACGUG
This 484-nucleotide ribosomal RNA is filed under the name uncultured bacterium. RNAcentral's name for it is "partial 16S ribosomal RNA". It matches the Rfam family "Bacterial small subunit ribosomal RNA", at positions 29 to 507 of the family's 1533-position model. The record is from RNAcentral.